GCGAGGAUGGCGAAAUUGGCAGACGCGCUGGAUUUAGGUUCCAGUGGGUAAAACCGUGGGGGUUCAAGUCCCCCUCUUCGCAC
This 83-nucleotide transfer RNA is filed under the name Parcubacteria group bacterium ADurb.Bin192. RNAcentral's name for it is "tRNA-Leu". It matches the Rfam family "tRNA". Rfam says of the family: Transfer RNA (tRNA) molecules are approximately 80 nucleotides in length. Their secondary structure includes four short double-helical elements and three loops (D, anti-codon, and T loops). The record is from RNAcentral.